This 776-nucleotide ribosomal RNA is filed under the name uncultured Neocallimastigales. Its description in RNAcentral is "partial large subunit ribosomal RNA". It matches the Rfam family "Eukaryotic large subunit ribosomal RNA", at positions 22 to 637 of the family's 3401-position model. Lineage: Eukaryota; Fungi; Neocallimastigomycota; Neocallimastigomycetes; Neocallimastigales. The record is from RNAcentral.
CUAUACAUGACUCUGGCGCAUAUCAAUAAGCGGAGGAAAAGAAACUAACAAGGAUUCCCCUUAGUAACGGCGAGUGAAGCGGGAAGAGCUCAAAUUUGAAAUCUUCAAGGGUUUACCUUUACGAAUUGUAGUUUAAAGAAGUGUUUUCUGCUGAGGUUUUGGUAAAAGUUCUUUGGAAUAGGACAUCAUAGAGGGUGAGAAUCCCGUAUUUGACCUUUACUUUCAACUUUGUGAUACACUUUCAAAGAGUCGGAUUGUUUGGGAAUGCAGUCCAAAAUGGGUGGUAAAUUUCAUCUAAAGCUAAAUAUUGGCGAGAGACCGAUAGCGAACAAGUACCGUGAGGGAAAGAUGAAAAGAACUUUGAAAAGAGAGUUAAACAGUACGUGAAAUUGUCAAAAGGAAAGCGUUUGACACCAGUGUUGUUUUUCUGAAAAUCAAUUAAAGAACUGUUUAUGCUAAGUUGUUUAGACUUUAUCAGCUAACUGUUUAGUUUUGAGCUUUUCUUUAAUGCACUUUUCAGUUAACAAGUCAACAUCAAUUUCUUUUGCUGUAAAAAAGCUUGAGGAAGGUGGCUUGAGAUUCGUCUUAAGUGUUUAUAGCCUCUUGCCUAUGCAGUCGGAGAGAUUGAGGUCUGCAGCGUAGAUCCUUCGGGGCUAAAUGCAUUUGUGCUAAGUUAUAGCAUUUUAUAGACAACUUGUUGACUAUGAUUUGUCUUGUAGCUUACUCGCUUAUGUUAUUUUACCUACGCUUAGGAUGUUGACAGCAGUAUAGACUGU